GUUCAUUAUAGGAAGUCUUUGAAGGAAAAAUUAUAUUUGUAUGAAAAGGAAUAUUUUUUAGCCAUGUUGGAGAGAACAAAGAUCUAGGGAAUGGGCUUGGGGACAUUGACCCAGAUAUGAAAAUGCAGGCAUAGCGAAUUCAAUGAUGUGCAAAUGAGUAGCUGAGUUUUCCUCCCGUCCAUUCCUCUCUGCAUAUUGAGGAUGUUCCAGAACCCCAGCCCUGUGGUCUCUAAUCCCAGGGAGGGAAGUCUUAUGCUCUAUGUGCUCAUUUGCCAUGUUCUAGUUUUUGAUUGAUUAUUGUUGGCUACUCUUGCAGUGUGAUGCUGUCAUCUUGUAAGACCAAUGACAACAUCACAAGUUAUUUGGUUAUUUCAAACUCACAUUGUUUAUUUGAGGUUCUAAAGAAGUUACUAGCCAUGUUGAGAUCAAAAAGGGUAAUUACCAAACCACUGGUAGUUUAUUGAUGUCUUAUCAGAUUCUAAAAAAGGGCUGGAAAAAAACCAGUGCAGGCUUUAUUGUACUCUCGCGCUAAGUUUUAUGAAGGUUGAUUAGGUAAUAAAAUGAAGUUUGUAUUCACAUAGAAUUGUAGACUCAGAACGUAAGCAGUGAUGCUCAAAGUGAGGCCCUGGGACCAGCAGCAUCUACCUCGCCAGGUAACUUAGAAAUGCACGUUCUCAGAUCCCACCCCAGGCCUACUGAAUCAGAAAUUCAGGGGCUCCGGAGAGGUGAGGGGUCAUCUGUGUUUCCACAAGGCCCGUGCAGGGGAGUCUGAGGCUGACUAGAGUGUCAGAGAGUGCUGUGUAUUGGUUCUCAACAAUUUCUCCCCUGAUGUUAACCUUCUUCCUGGUAUAUCCUGUGUGUCUGCAUGUUGGACUCAAUCAGGUCUCACCUUUGCUUUCAUCUACCCUUGCUAGGAAACAGGAUGUAAUCUCUUGAAUUGGGGAGAGAGAAGUUCAGAAUGUGUCUAUGCUGAUGACAGUGUUGGAGACAAUGUUAACUCUUUUCUAUGCUUCUUAAAACUGCUAAGAAACUCUAAGUCUUAUAUAACAUCGAAUUAGUUAGUUAAUCAAGACAUUCCUCCUAUGGAGUACAAAAGCCUUCUUAAAAAGUAAGUAGCGACGGACAAAUGUAUUUUUUAAAUCUUUUAAAAAAAUUUUUUUUGCAGUAGGGGCCAGCCCCUGGCUGAGUGGUUAAGUUUGCGCGGUCUGCUGCUGCGGUCCACGGUUUCACCUGUUCGAAUCCUGGGUACAGACAUGGCACUGCUCAUCAAGCCACGCUGAGGCGGCAUCCCACAUGCCACAACUAGAAGGACCCACAACUAAAAAUACACAACUAUGUAAUGGGGGACUUUAGGGGAGGAAAAGGAAAAAUAAAAUCUUUAAAAAAUUUUUUUUGCGGUAACAUUGGUUUAUAACAUUAUAUAAAUUUCAGGUGUACAUCGUUAUAUAUUUCUGUGUGGAUUGCAUCAUGUUCACCACCCAAAGGCUAAGUACAAUCCAUCACCACACACAUGUGCCUAAUCACUACCUUCAUCCUCCUCCGUGCCCCCUAAAUCUUUUAAUACACCUCAGCUGCCGUCUAGCCAGGCGAACCUGUUCGGUGCGCUCACUGCAUGACAACGGUGGGUGCGGCUCGAGGGGAGUGCCUGGCCUCCAGAAUGUGCCCGAAGGCUGCAGAAUCAGACUUUUGCCAAGGGAAGAAGGAGCGCCCCAAGGACCACAUUCACUGGGGCCACAGGGAACGGCUCAACUGGGCGGGGCCUUUGCUGUCUUCUUCAUUUAACCUGUAUAGCUCAGAAAUGGAAGAGGCAAAACUCAGUUCCUCAUGAUCCCUUCUUAAAAUAGAACUCCAUCCACUUCCACGGCGGGAAAUUGCAUACCAGAGACGGUCCAGCUCUGGAGCCGUUUUGAGUUGUUUUCAGGCCCACGCCUGCUCUAAGCACACACUGUACUGAACAGAAGAUAAACUCUGGACAGCAGGGACACAGACUCUGGCGUUUCAGCCAGGACUUGGUGCUAGGUUUGCUUUUAUUAAGACAAAACAAAACAUCAUCAACAACAACAAAAACAGUGCUAUUUUAAUGAGUUGAAAGAUCUGAACUCUUCAGCUAACUUUUCUGAGUCUAUCUUUCCGGAGUCUGUGAGAUGGCUUGUGAUAACAAUAGUGUCCUUUCUUUAGGGAGCCCCUAUCACUGGGGACCCCAGAGCACCCUGUGGAUAUUUGCUCUCUUAAAUGACGCUUCUGAAGAAUAUAUUGGUCAGAAAACACUGAGAGGAGCCUCAAUUUAGGAUUAGAACACCUCAGUUCGUUCCCUUUUAUCAAAGGAAAACGAUUUUUGAUGUCUUACUAAAAUAGAACCAGUGCAUGCCCACCCAGCACGAGGAGAGUCUAUUGUGUGACUUUCUGAAGUGACCCAGGAGAGAGGCUUGCCACCUGUGAAUGACUAACACAGAUUUAUCUCGGCCCAUGCCAGCAUCUGCAAUAGGGGAC
This 2490-nucleotide long non-coding RNA is filed under the name Equus asinus (donkey). RNAcentral's name for it is "lncRNA (ENSEASG00005037156.1)". The record is from RNAcentral. Lineage: Eukaryota; Metazoa; Chordata; Mammalia; Perissodactyla; Equidae.